RNAcentral lists this ribosomal RNA (543 nucleotides) under Triticum aestivum (bread wheat). RNAcentral's name for it is "partial small subunit ribosomal RNA". The record is from RNAcentral. Lineage: Eukaryota; Viridiplantae; Streptophyta; Magnoliopsida; Poales; Poaceae.
AUGUUAUUAAGCUAUGCAACUCUUUUGUGCGGAUCCUUAUUAUCUGCCGCUAUUCUAAUCAUUAGAUUUCAAAAUAAUUUCCAUUUCUUUUCUAAAAAGAAAAAAAAUGUUUUAAAUAAAACAUUUCUCUUUAGUGAUAUUAAAUAUUUUUAUGCAAAAAGAAGUGCUUUAGAAAGAACCUUUGUCCCUUCAUUUCCAAAUUAUUAAAAAUAUCAAUUAAUGGAGCGUUUGGAUUCUUGGAGUUAUCGUGUCAUUAGCCUAGGAUUUACCCUUUUAACCGUAGGUAUUCUUUGUGGAGCAGUAUGGGCUAAUGAGGCAUGGGGAUCCUAUUGGAAUUAGGAUCCUAAGGAAACUUGGGCAUUUAUUACUUGGACCAUAUUCGCAAUUUAUUUACAUAGUAGAACAAAUCCAAAUUGGAAGGGUACGAAUUCUGCACUUAUAGCUUCGAUAGGAUUUCUUAUAAUUUGGAUUUGUUAUUUUGGUAUAAAUCUAUUAGGAAUAGGCUUUCAUAGUUAUGGUUCGAUUACAUUAACACCUAAAUGA